Molecule: long non-coding RNA, 882 nt
Organism: Camelus dromedarius (Arabian camel)
Lineage: Eukaryota; Metazoa; Chordata; Mammalia; Artiodactyla; Camelidae
Exons: 3
Source: RefSeq, a predicted model, not a curated record
AUAGGACCCACCAUAACCCACAACGCACUGUAGAUACCUGAGUUCUGCGUGUGCCAUCAUCCGUAGUCCUAUCCCUCUUUUCCCGCUGCCUCUGCUAGCUCAGAUUUGGCAGCUCGGAUCUUGGUCUCAGAUUCAAUUGUGGGAAUAUUUUGUGCUGAUUUUUUUGAGUUCUGUCAGCCAAGCAUCUGCUGUGCACCCCUCUAACACUCAGCACAUCAAAUUGAAUCCCAUGUGUGCCGCCCGCUUCAGAGUGUACGUCCAAGUAAAACAGUUUCACCUUUGAUGCUCCAUUACCAGAGAUCAGAUCCUGCACUGGUUUCCAUUCUCUACUUUGCCUUCUCCUGCUUCCAGGUUUUCUGAGGCCUCAUCAUGUCUUUGGAAAUAACAGACCAGUCUUCAGCAAGUGUCCUGUGCCAAGGGCUGGACGUCAGGAAUCUUGGACCCUUUCUUGGAGCAGAGAUUCGAGUAACUUUCUCAAGUGCACGUUGACACACCGUAUGUUUCUCAGAACAACUCUCAUCAAUGUGUUCGCACCUCUCCUCAAUCCGUGCCUCCAGCUUUUCUGCCAGCUUCUCUUCGUGUCUCCCAUAAAGUCGAAGUCAAGAGGACUGGGUAAGUCAGAAAGUACCGCGGAGCCACACCAGUAAGCUGAUGACAGGCAGAUCUUCCAAUGUCUGCCCUUUAAGAUUCUGGAAACUGUCCCUUGAUGUCAGGUCUUUGGGCAGCAGCAGUAUCUCGAACUUACACAGCUUCCUGAACAAAAGACCUAAGCCAAUCUCCACAUAGGGUAGUAGGCCCUCCAUCACACUGAUCCACCCAAAGUAUUCUGCCCAGUUACCUUGGAUCCACCAGCCACAACAAGCCUCGUGGUACUCACCAACA